RNAcentral lists this long non-coding RNA (527 nucleotides) under Erythranthe guttata (spotted monkey flower). RNAcentral's name for it is "long non-coding RNA (EGUT_LNC003044)". The record is from RNAcentral. Lineage: Eukaryota; Viridiplantae; Streptophyta; Magnoliopsida; Lamiales; Phrymaceae.
GUAGAUGUAUGCCGGUGGUGGAGGUGACUUUACGGGUGGUGGAGGAGAUGAGUAGACGUAUGGCGGUGGCGGUGAUUUUACGGGUGGUGGAGGUGAUGAGUAGACAUAUGGUGGUGGCGGUGAUUUUACGGGUGGUGGAGGUGAUGAGUACACAUAGGGUGGUGGCGGUGACUUUACGGGUGGUGGAGGUGAUGAGUACACGUACGGUGGUGGCGGUGACUUUACCGGUGGUGGAGGUGAUGCGUACACGUACGGUGGUGGCGGUGACUUCAAAGGUGGUGGAGGUGAUGAGUAAACGUAUGGUGGUGGAGGUGACUUCACGGGUGGUGGAGGUGAUGAGUACACGUACGGUGGUGGUGGUGACUUUACGGGUGGUGGAGGUGAUGAGUACACAUAUGGUGGUGGUGGUGACUUCACGGGUGGUGGAGGUGAUGAGUAGUAGUACGGUGGUGGUGGUGACUUCACGGGUGGUGGAGGUGAUGAGUACACGUAUGGUGGUGGUGGUGACUUCACGGGUGGUGGAGGUG